Molecule: ribosomal RNA, 300 nt
Filed under: uncultured Acinetobacter sp.
Lineage: Bacteria; Pseudomonadati; Pseudomonadota; Gammaproteobacteria; Moraxellales; Moraxellaceae
Description: bacterial SSU rRNA
Rfam family: Bacterial small subunit ribosomal RNA
Source: RNAcentral
UGCUUAGGAAUCUGCCUAUUAGUGGGGGACAACAUUCCGAAAGGAAUGCCAAUACCGCAUACGCCUACGGGGAAAGCAGGGGAUCUUCGGACCUUGCGCUAAUAGAUGAGCCUAAGUCAGAUUAGCUAGUUGGUGGGGUAAAGGCCUACCAAGGCGACGAUCUGUAGCGGGUCUGAGAGGAUGAUCCGCCACACUGGGACUGAGACACGGCCCAGACUCCUACGGGAGGCAGCAGUGGGGAAUAUUGCACAAUGGGCGCAAGCCUGAUGCAGCCAUGCCGCGUGUGUGAAGAAGGCCUGG